ACUUAUUGUAUAAUAUCCAUGUAGAAAAGUGAAAAGAUGGUGGCUAAUCUCUUUGAUAAAGGGGUGAUGCCUAUGGUUAUAGAAGUUGCUCCUGGAAAGGAUUAACAAUUGUCAGUAUAUGAAGCAUUAUCGCUAAUGAUUGCUUUUGCAACAUUAGUUUUGCUGAUUGUUGACGA
Molecule: small RNA, 176 nt
Filed under: Melissococcus plutonius
Lineage: Bacteria; Bacillati; Bacillota; Bacilli; Lactobacillales; Enterococcaceae
Description: Listeria sRNA rli28
Rfam family: Listeria sRNA rli28
Source: RNAcentral